GGGAGAUGCCCAUUCAUGGCAGCCAGCAGAAAGCAGCUGAAGAAGCUGAUGACACAGGGAACCUAUGACAUCCCCCGCAUGUGUCUGAGGGAGCAGAAAGCCUCAUCAAUGGGACCCCAACAGUGGCCCCACACAGAGGCCCACCAUAGAGCAGGUCAUGGGGCACCCAUGGCUGAGCCAGGGUGGGGAAGCUGCUUCGCCCAGUCCUUCUAGUGAGGCACUCCCCAAACUCCCGGAUCCCACAAUUAUGAAACUCAUGAUUGACGUGGGUCACCACCCCUAUAUACCUGGGUGUCUGUGGCCAGAUGAAGAUCUGAUGAUGGGAUGGCCACCUACCUCAUCCUCAUAGAGAACCCAGCAGGCAGGCCCUAUGGAUCUUCCCAGGGUCUGCUCCAAGAAGUGUCCCAGUGAGCCUGCCCUUCCCUUGCCCUGUGAGCAGCAGCAGCCUGAGGAGGCUGAGCAGUCCCAGCAGAAGGGUGCUGGAAGUGCCAGAGCCUGCCAUCCCUCUCUGCUUCCUCCACAUAGACACACCCCCUCCCAGCCCAGCCUCCCAGGAGACCCUGUGCCCAGCAGGGGUUGGAAGAGAGUGAAGAGGAGGAUCGCCAAAUGCUCCCAACAACUGUGCUGCUUACCCUGCCUCCAUGGGACAGCGUCCAGAAACAGAGUGGCUCCAAUGGAAAUGCCCAGACAGAACUGAGGGACAGCCACAAGACCCUGAGCUCUCUGGAGGCUGACGACAUGGUGUGGGAUGAGGUGUGCAGAGGGCUCAGGCUUCUCUGCAAGGAUUCCAGGCAGCAACUCAUCUGCAUCCACCAGGAGUCUCCUCUGCCCCGCCCCCCACUACUGCGAUGACACAUCAUAGAGACUUUUCCCUGGGACACUUCCCUCUGUCCUGCUUUUUGUCC
RNAcentral lists this long non-coding RNA (905 nucleotides) under Marmota monax (woodchuck). Lineage: Eukaryota; Metazoa; Chordata; Mammalia; Rodentia; Sciuridae. The record is from RNAcentral.